Molecule: ribosomal RNA, 552 nt
Filed under: Humerana humeralis (Bhamo frog)
Lineage: Eukaryota; Metazoa; Chordata; Amphibia; Anura; Ranidae
Description: partial 16S ribosomal RNA
Rfam family: Bacterial large subunit ribosomal RNA
Source: RNAcentral
CGCCUCUUGAUUAAUAUAAGAGGUCCAGCCUGCCCAGUGACAUAGUUUAACGGCCGCGGUAUCCUAACCGUGCGAAGGUAGCAUAAUCACUUGUUCUCUAAAUAAGGACUAGUAUCAACGGCAUCACGAGGGCUACACUGUCUCCUUUCUCCAAUCAGUGAAACUGAUCUCCCCGUGAAGAAGCGGGGAUUCAAAUAUAAGACGAGAAGACCCCAUGGAGCUUUAAGCACCGUAUUUACCCUUUCUACAAUAAACCAACUAAACUAAAAAGACCUAAAUACCCGCUUUUGGUUGGGGGGACCGCGGAGUACAACAUACCCUCCGCAACAAAUGGGCCACGCCCUUAUCUAUGAGUUACAACUCUAAGAAUCAACAAACUGAUGCCUUUUGACCCGAUAAGUCGAUCAACGAACCAAGUUACCCUGGGGAUAACAGCGCAAUCUACUUCAAGAGCUCAUAUCGACAAGUAGGUUUACGACCUCGAUGUUGGAUCAGGGUACCCCAGUGGUGCAGCCGCUACUAACGGUUCGUUUGUUCAACGAUUAAAACCCU